GGCGGCAGGCCUAACACUGCAAGUCGAGCGGUAGCACAGNANAGCUUGCUCUCGGGUGACGAGCGGCGGACGGGUGAGUAAUGUCUGGGAAACUGCCUGAUGGAGGGGGAUAACUACUGGAAACGGUAGCUAAUACCGCAUAAUGUCGCAAGACCAAAGUGGGGGACCUUCGGGCCUCAUGCCAUCAGAUGUGCCCAGAUGGGAUUAGCUAGUAGGUGGGGUAACGGCUCACCUAGGCGACGAUCCCUAGCUGGUCUGAGAGGAUGACCAGCCACACUGGAACUGAGACACGGUCCAGACUCCUACGGGAGGCAGCAGUGGGGAAUAUUGCACAAUGGGCGCAAGCCUGAUGCAGCCAUGCCGCGUGUGUGAAGAAGGCCUUCGGGUUGUAAAGCACUUUCAGCGGGGAGGAAGGCGAUAAGGUUAAUAACCUUGCGAUUGACGUUACCCGCAGAAGAAGCACCGGCUAACUCCGUGCCAGCAGCCCGCGGUAAUACGAGGGUGCAAGCGUUAAUCGGAAUUACUGGGCGUAAAGCGCACGCAGGCGGUCUGUCAAGUCGGAUGUGAAAUCCCCGGGCUCAACCUGGGAACUGCAUUCGAAACUGGCAGGCUAGAGUCUUGUAGAGGGGGGUAGAAUUCCAGGUGUAGCGGUGAAAUGCGUAGAGAUCUGGAGGAANACCGGUGGCGAAGGCGGCCCCCUGGACAAAGACUGACGCUCAGGUGCGAAAGCGGGGGAGCAAAC
Molecule: ribosomal RNA, 742 nt
Filed under: Klebsiella pneumoniae
Lineage: Bacteria; Pseudomonadati; Pseudomonadota; Gammaproteobacteria; Enterobacterales; Enterobacteriaceae
Description: bacterial SSU rRNA
Rfam family: Bacterial small subunit ribosomal RNA
Source: RNAcentral